CCUGAGAAACCCAAAAGAUCGAAUGGGGAGAUUCAUCGUCAACGCGUCUGGUAUAUGUAUGAGUUGCGAUACGAGUUAUCCUUGUGAUAAUGCUUGUACGUGCUUGUUCAUUUUAUUGCUGGAUGUCGUCGGCGUGCACUUUUCCCCUAGUAGGACGUCGCGACCCGUUGGGUGUCGUUYUAUGGCCCGGAUGGUAGUCUUUAAUUUUYCAAUUGAAGACCACUGGUGACCUGAUCGGCUGCCCGGCGGUAUUCGCACGGUAAUGAGUCGCAUUUUAAUUUGCGUCAAGCCCAUCGCAAGCGCGGUUAGUAUUCUGGUAGUGCGGACUCAAUGCCGUCACUGGAGCUAACCAGCUGUUGGUUGUAUGGUGUUCUUUGACUGACUCGAUAAUUAAUUACCGGUCGGCGACGCUACUGCU
RNAcentral lists this ribosomal RNA (418 nucleotides) under Xele albiditarsus. RNAcentral's name for it is "eukaryotic LSU rRNA". The record is from RNAcentral. Lineage: Eukaryota; Metazoa; Arthropoda; Insecta; Hymenoptera; Braconidae.